GACGAACGCUGGCGGCGUGCUUAACACAUGCAAGUCGAACGGAAAGGCCCUGCUUUUGUGGGGUGCUCGAGUGGCGAACGGGUGAGUAACACGUGAGUAACCUGCCCUUGACUUUGGGAUAACUUCAGGAAACUGGGGCUAAUACCGGAUAGGAGCUCCUGCUGCAUGGUGGGGGUUGGAAAGUUUCGGCGGUUGGGGAUGGACUCGCGGCUUAUCAGCUUGUUGGUGGGGUAGUGGCUUACCAAGGCUUUGACGGGUAGCCGGCCUGAGAGGGUGACCGGCCACAUUGGGACUGAGAUACGGCCCAGACUCCUACGGGAGGCAGCAGUGGGGAAUAUUGCACAAUGGGCGGAAGCCUGAUGCAGCGACGCCGCGUGCGGGAUGACGGCCUUCGGGUUGUAAACCGCUUUCGCCUGUGACGAAGCGUGAGUGACGGUAAUGGGUAAAGAAGCACCGGCUAACUACGUGCCAGCAGCCGCGGUGAUACGUAGGGUGCGAGCGUUGUCCGGAUUUAUUGGGCGUAAAGGGCUCGUAGGUGGUUGAUCGCGUCGGAAGUGUAAUCUUGGGGCUUAACCCUGAGCGUGCUUUCGAUACGGGUUGACUUGAGGAAGGUAGGGGAGAAUGGAAUUCCUGGUGGAGCGGUGGAAUGCGCAGAUAUCAGGAGGAACACCAGUGGCGAAGGCGGUUCUCUGGGCCUUUCCUGACGCUGAGGAGCGAAAGCGUGGGGAGCGAACAGGCUUAGAUACCCUGGUAGUCCACGCUGUAAACGGUGGGUACUAGGUGUGGGGUCCAUUCCACGGGUUCCGUGCCGUAGCUAACGCUUUAAGUACCCCGCCUGGGGAGUACGGCCGCAAGGCUAAAACUCAAAGGAAUUGACGGGGCCCCGCACAAGCGGCGGAGCAUGCGGAUUAAUUCGAUGCAACGCGUAGAACCUUACCUGGGUUUGACAUGGAUCGGGAGUGCUCAGAGAUGGGUGUGCCUCUUUUGGGGUCGGUUCACAGGUGGUGCAUGGCUGUCGUCAGCUCGUGUCGUGAGAUGUUGGGUUAAGUCCCGCAACGAGCGCAACCCUUGUUCACUGUUGCCAGCACGUUAUGGUGGGGACUCAGUGGAGACCGCCGGGGUCAACUCGGAGGAAGGUGGGGAUGACGUCAAGUCAUCAUGCCCCUUAUGUCCAGGGCUUCACGCAUGCUACAAUGGCUGGUACAGAGAGUGGCGAGCCUGUGAGGGUGAGCGAAUCUCGGAAAGCCGGUCUCAGUUCGGAUUGGGGUCUGCAACUCGACCUCAUGAAGUCGGAGUCGCUAGUAAUCGCAGAUCAGCAACGCUGCGGUGAAUACGUUCCCGGGGCU
This 1346-nucleotide ribosomal RNA is filed under the name uncultured bacterium. Its description in RNAcentral is "partial 16S ribosomal RNA". It matches the Rfam family "Bacterial small subunit ribosomal RNA", at positions 28 to 1381 of the family's 1533-position model. The record is from RNAcentral.